GGAGAGGUGGCCGAGCGGUUUAUGGCGGCCGUCUUGAAAACGGCUGGGUGAUGAGCCCCGGGGGUUCGAAUCCCUCCCUCUCCGCCA
RNAcentral lists this transfer RNA (87 nucleotides) under Chloroflexota bacterium. RNAcentral describes it as "Chloroflexi bacterium (sediment metagenome) tRNA-Ser". It matches the Rfam family "tRNA". Rfam says of the family: Transfer RNA (tRNA) molecules are approximately 80 nucleotides in length. Their secondary structure includes four short double-helical elements and three loops (D, anti-codon, and T loops). The record is from RNAcentral. Lineage: Bacteria; Bacillati; Chloroflexota.